GAGUAGUGAUAAAUCAUGUGAAAAAUAUGAUUGCCAAAAGUUCAAGGGUUUUUACAUUUAAUAAGUUUACAUAGAGUGAAUUGGUCCCCAACAAAUCCCUAAAAGGGCUUAGUCCGAUGGAUACACAAAAGUAACAAAGUUGCUUUGGCUACUACUAAAACACAAAUUACUUAUGAAUUAGAUGAUUACUCAGGUCGAUGAACUUUUAGAAAAAAACUUGGUGGAAUUGGAAGAAUCUUGAUUCUUCUAGUGUAUUACAAACUAUAUUCUAAACCAACACAGGUGAACAAGUAGAAUAUACUAAGGCACUUGAAAAAAACAUAUUGAAGGAACUUGGCAAAAUGACCUUGUAACUUCAGGAGAAGGGGUGCUUUCCUAGAAAAAUAGUACAUAUCAGGGAAUAGCAACUGUUUAUUAAAAACACAGGAUUCUGCUAAGUAGAAAUAUGAUGUAUAGAAUCUGACACCUACUCGGUGCUGGAAGGUAAAAAAGAGAAGUAUCAUAGGCUUUGAAUGGAAGCCUCGAUAAACAACAGCAAUAACUUUAAUUAUCUUAAGAUAGCAAAAUUCUUUGUCACAUAUGUAGUGACUUGUACAAAUGGUAAAUUAGCUACUUUUUGUCAAAAUUUUAUACAAAG
This 637-nucleotide non-coding RNA is filed under the name Physcomitrium patens. RNAcentral's name for it is "Physcomitrella patens Bacterial large subunit ribosomal RNA". It matches the Rfam family "Bacterial large subunit ribosomal RNA", at positions 1304 to 2038 of the family's 2925-position model. Lineage: Eukaryota; Viridiplantae; Streptophyta; Bryopsida; Funariales; Funariaceae. The record is from Rfam by way of RNAcentral.